AUGGAUGGUCGUAUUCUGCUGGUGAAGCAUGUGCUCUCUGCGAUGGUGGUUUUUCAGAUGAUGGUAAUUCAAAUGCCGGUGUGGUUGCGGAAGAAGAUUGAUAAGCUCAGGAGAGGCUUUCUCUGGGAAGGAAAAGAAUUUGCAGUGGGCGGCAAAUGUCUGGUGAGCUGGCGCAUAAUUUGCAGGCCAAUGAUCUUCGGAGGGCUGGGGAUGACGGACUUGACUGCGCAGAGCACGGCGUUGAGGCUGAGAUGGUUGUGGAUGUCGUGGACGGACCCAAGCAAGGCCUGGUUGGGGCUG
This 300-nucleotide ribosomal RNA is filed under the name Triticum aestivum (bread wheat). Its description in RNAcentral is "partial small subunit ribosomal RNA". Lineage: Eukaryota; Viridiplantae; Streptophyta; Magnoliopsida; Poales; Poaceae. The record is from RNAcentral.